UUUCAUUUUUGAAAUUUUAAAAGUUUGUGAAUUGAAACAUCUAAGUAACAAAUAGAAAAAAAAUCAAAAGAGAUUCCAUUAGUAAUGGUGAAUGAAAGUGGAAAUUUAAAGUAUAGUUAAAAGUUUUUUUCAAAAAAACUUUGAUGUAUAAUACUUUGUAAAAGGCAGGAAUGCGUUAAAAAAAAUAACGUAAUUAAAAAACCUUUGUUUGUAUAAAAACUUUUAGCUUGUUUGACUAGCGUGAGAACUUUUUUCUUGCGCGAUAAAAACUAGGAGGACUACCUUCUAAAUUUAAAUACUUUCUAUAACUAAUAGUGAACAAGUACCGUGAGGGAAAAAAAUGAGUUUAAGAAAUUGAACGCUUAUUAUCAAAUUGUAGUGUAUGUGUUUUAAUAUUUGUAAUAUUUUUUUUUAUUAUAAUAUAGUAUUUGCAUUGCAAUAUACCUUUUGUAUAAUGGGCCAACAAGUAAAUGAUUAUAGCAAGCUGAAUUUUUAAAAUAAGCUUAAUUAACUUGUGAGAAUUUAAAUAAGAUUGUUGUUCUAUUUAAUUUUUUUUGAUAAGUUAUAAUAAUUUAACCCGAAGCUAAGUGAUCUAAGCGAGAACAGAUUGAAUUUAUAUUGGUUUAUAUAAUGGAGGAUCGAACUCGUGUAUGUGGCAAAAUACUGAGAUGAUUCUCGUUUAGGAGUGAAAGGCUAAUCAAACUUAGUAAUAGCUGGUUUUCCGCGAAAUUUAUUUUAGUAAAGUGUCAAAUUGUUUUUUAAAGGUAAAGCUCUGUUUAAGUGAAGCAAUUUAAAACUUGUUUCAUUUAUUUAAACUUGGAAUUUUAAUAAAAUUUAAUUGUCAAAUAGACGCUGGGCGAUAAGGUUCAGUGUCAAAAGGGAAACAACCCAGAUCAUUCGUUAAGGUCUUUAAAGAUAUAUUAAGUUUUAAAGGAUGUUUAAAAUAUAAGAAAUUAGUAUAGUAGGCUUAGAAGCAGCCAUCGAUUAUAGAACGCGUUAUAGCGCGCUAUUUUAUGUUUAAGCAUCAAAAAUUAACUAGAGAAUAAAAAUAUUCUACCGAAACGAUGACUUUUGUAUUUUUAACAAAAGGGUAGCGGAACGUUCUGUAUUUAUUAUUUUAUUUAUAUAUUUGUAAGAAUAUAUAAUAUUUUCAGAAUUGAUAAUGUUGGUAUGAGUAACGAAAACUACGAUUUAGGAUCGUAGUCACUGAAAGUCUAAGGGUUUCUAUUGUUAUUUUAUAAACGUAGAUUUAAUCGGUUUCUAAGAUAAAAACGAAAGUUUUUGUCAAUGAGAAAAUAAAAUGGUUUAAAUAAUUAUUAUAUACAAGUGUUAUAAAAAAAAAUUUUGUAAGACGGAAUUUUAUAUUUUGAAGUUAAUAUAAAAUGUUUUUCUUUAAAAUAAAGAAUUUCCAAGAAAUAAUUGUAUAUUUUAAAGUAACCGUACCGAAAACUGACACAGGUAGACUGGUUGAAUAGACUAAAGUGUUUGAAAUAACCAUAUUGAAGGAACUCGGCAAAUUGACUCCGUAAGUUCGCAAAAAGGAGUGUCAUAUUUAAAUAUGAUUUAAAUGAAUAAGGGGUAACGACUGUUUAUUAAAAACACAAAGCUUUGCAAAUUUGUGAAAAAAAGUAUAAAGCUUGACGUUUGCCAGGUGCUUGAAGGUUAUUUUAAUGAGUUCAGGCUCUAUUAAAUAAGCCCAAGUAAACGGCGGUCCUAACUAUAAGGAUCCUAAGGUAGCGUAACCCACUGACGCAUAAUUUGCGUCCUGCAUGAAAAACGUAACGAUUGCCCCGCUGUCUCCAAUAUGGGUUCAGUGAAAUUGAAUUUUCUGUGAAGAUGCAGAAUAUUUGCAGUUAGACGGGAAGACCCCAUGAUUCUUUACUAUAGUUUUAUAUUGUGAUUCUUGUAAAAUUUGUAUAGAAUAAAUGGGAACUUUAUUAUUUUAGUAAACUAAACUAAAAUAAUAAAGUGAUAGUGGAAUACCAUUCUUAUUUUAUGAGAUUGCUAAUUUAUAUUUUGUUGUAUAAAGACAGUGUAAGAUGGUUAGUUUGUUUGGGGCAAACGCCUCCUAAAAAGUAACGGAGGUGCACAUAGGUGAUCUCCAGUUCGUUAGAACUGAAUGAUGAAGGAGUGUAAUGGCAUAAGUUUGCUAGAUAAGUUGACUGAUAAGUCAGCUUAGGACGAGAGUCGGUCAUAGUGAUCCGGUAAUUUUUUGUAGAAAAGUUAUCGCAUAACAGAUAAAAGAAACUCUGGGGAUAACAGCGUUAUCGUUUCUAAGAGUUCAUAUCGACGAAACGGUUUGCGACCUCGAUGUCGGCUCAUCAUAUCCUGGAGUUGAAGUAGGUUCCAAGGGUCCGGGUGUUCACCGGUUAAAAUGGUACGUGAGCUGGGUUUAAAACGUCGUGAGACAGUUUGGUCCCUAUCUGCUGUAAAUAUGAAAAAGUGAAGAAAGUCAUUUUUAGUACGAAAGGAUUAAAAUGAGUUAACCUCUAGUGUAUUGGUUGUUACAAUUAUAGCAUUGCCAAGUAGCCACGUUGAUUUAACAUAAACACUGAAGUUAUCUAAGUGUGAAAGUUUUUCUUAAAUGUCUUUUUAUUAAGUAUUCUAAAAGAUUAUUAGAUAGAUCGGUUUAGUAUGUAAAGUUUGUAAGAACUGAGUAUAUAAAUACGAAAAGAAAAAAAAAAUGAAAAAGUUUUGACUUUUUCAUUUUUCUUGCUUUUGUUUUUUUAUC
Molecule: ribosomal RNA, 2731 nt
Filed under: Cyanidium caldarium
Lineage: Eukaryota; Rhodophyta; Bangiophyceae; Cyanidiales; Cyanidiaceae
Description: large subunit ribosomal RNA
Rfam family: Bacterial large subunit ribosomal RNA
Source: RNAcentral